UACAGAGGUGGCAAGCGUUGUUCGGAAUUACUGGGCGUAAAGAGCGUGUAGGCGGCCAAGCAGGUCAGCUGUGAAAACUCGAGGCUCAACCUCGAGACGUCGGUUGAAACCGCUUGGCUAGAGUCCGGAAGAGGAGAGUGGAAUUCCCGGUGUAGCGGUGAAAUGCGCAGAUAUCAGGAGGAACACCGGUGGCGAAGGCGGGUCUCUGGGCAACAACUGACGCUGAGGAGCGAAAGCGUGGGGAGCGAACAGG
Molecule: ribosomal RNA, 253 nt
Filed under: uncultured bacterium
Lineage: Bacteria
Description: partial 16S ribosomal RNA
Rfam family: Bacterial small subunit ribosomal RNA
Source: RNAcentral